GAUUUCUGACGGACCGGCGUAGCCCUUUUCCGUUUCGGGAAGGAGUGCUGUGCCGUGUUUGUCAUCCUUCCAGAAAGCUGCGCCUACCGUUUAUUCGGCCGGGUGUAUGUGAUCUGGAUCUAUUACUUUGAAAAAAUUAGAGUGUUUAAAGCAGGCUUACGCUAUGAAUACAUUAGCAUGGAAUAAUAAUUUAGGACUUCGGUUCUAUUUUGUUGGUUUCUAGGACUGAAGUAAUGAUUGAUAGGGAUAGUUGGGGGUGCUAGUAUUCAGCGGCCAGAGGUGAAAUUCUCGGAUUCGCUGAAGACUAACUUAUGCGAAAGCAUU
This 324-nucleotide ribosomal RNA is filed under the name uncultured Euglypha. RNAcentral describes it as "SSU rRNA". It matches the Rfam family "Eukaryotic small subunit ribosomal RNA", at positions 629 to 955 of the family's 1831-position model. The record is from RNAcentral. Lineage: Eukaryota; Cercozoa; Imbricatea; Euglyphida; Euglyphidae.